Molecule: ribosomal RNA, 497 nt
Filed under: uncultured bacterium
Lineage: Bacteria
Description: partial 16S ribosomal RNA
Rfam family: Bacterial small subunit ribosomal RNA
Source: RNAcentral
GAUGAACGCUGGCGGCGUGCCUAAUACAUGCAAGUCGAGCGAACAGAUGAGGAGCUUGCUCCUCUGACGUUAGCGGCGGACGGGUGAGUAACACGUGGAUAACCUACCUAUAAGACUGGGAUAACUUCGGGAAACCGGAGCUAAUACCGGAUAAUAUAUUGAACCGCAUGGUUCAAUAGUGAAAGACGGUUUUGCUGUCACUUAUAGAUGGAUCCGCGCCGCAUUAGCUAGUUGGUAAGGUAACGGCUUACCAAGGCAACGAUGCGUAGCCGACCUGAGAGGGUGAGCGGCCACACUGGAACUGAGUCACGGUCCAGGCUCCUACGGGAGGCAGCAGUAGGGAAUCUUCCGCAAUGGGCGAAAGCCUGACGGAGCAACGCCGCGUGAGUGAUGAAGGUCUUCUGAUCGUAAAACUCUGUUAUGAGGGAAGAACAAAUGUGUAAGUAACUAUGCACGUCUUGACGGUACCUAAUCAGAAAGCCACGGCUAACUACGUG